This 253-nucleotide ribosomal RNA is filed under the name uncultured bacterium. RNAcentral describes it as "partial 16S ribosomal RNA". It matches the Rfam family "Bacterial small subunit ribosomal RNA", at positions 524 to 776 of the family's 1533-position model. The record is from RNAcentral.
UACGAAGGGGGCUAGCGUUGCUCGGAAUCACUGGGCGUAAAGGGUGCGUAGGCGGGUUUUUAAGUCAGAGGUGAAAUCCUGGAGCUCAACUCCAGAACUGCCUUUGAUACUGAAAGUCUUGAGUAUGGGAGAGGUGAGUGGAACUGCGAGUGUAGAGGUGAAAUUCGUAGAUAUUCGCAAGAACACCAGUGGCGAAGGCGGCUCACUGGCCCACAACUGACGCUGAGGCACGAAAGCGUGGGGAGCAAACAGG